GCACAGCAGGGGGAGAAAACAGUGAAGGGAAGGGGAGAACUGUAAAAGAACUGCUACACCUCCAAAUUAAAUUUGUGAUGCCAGGCAUCAGAUGGGCCCACAGCCAGAGAUUAAUUCGCCUGAUCAAGUUAUAAAGAGCGCUGAAGCUGGUCUGCAAGGAGAAAUGCUAGGAAAUGACUUUACACACCUCUUGAUUCCCAGUCUGGGUCUUAUUAUUAUGUGCUGAACAAUAAAUACUCCUGCUGCCAUUAAUAGAUGCUGCACAACUUCAACCUCUUGCACAGUUAUUAUAUGUUUUAAAAGCCUAAUAUAAUAACCAUGGAUCUAAAGGAAUUCAUUAAUCAGUCAUGCAACAUCAGCUGAACAUGAGUCAAAUGUGUGAUGGAGCUGCAACCCCCCGCCCAAAAAAACCCUUAUGAGAUUUUUGUCUGCAUUAAUAGAAUCAUAGUUUCCAAGUCACUAUAAGUAGUAGUUCCUCUUUAUUCUGCACUAGUUGACCCUCAUCUAGAGAACUGUGUCCAGUUUUGGACGCUGCAGUUUAAGAAGGAUGUAGACAAAUUCAAGGGGUUCAGAGGAGGGUAAUGUGUUUUUGCUUAACCAAUUCAUUGAUCCGGGCCAGCUUUUGAAUGGUGCUUUAGUUACUUUUAUUCCAAUCCUGGAUUAGAGGUGGGGCUAACAAACAGCCAGCAGCAAGACCAUUGAAGGAAGACUGCACUUGCUUCUCUGUAAAUAAUUUCUAUCUCAUUAAACUGUUAAUAUUUCCUAUUCAA
This is a long non-coding RNA of Hemicordylus capensis (graceful crag lizard), 770 nucleotides long. RefSeq lists it as uncharacterized. Lineage: Eukaryota; Metazoa; Chordata; Lepidosauria; Squamata; Cordylidae. The record is from RefSeq and is a predicted model, not a curated record. The transcript is spliced from 3 exons.